AGCUUCAAGUGACAUCAUCCAGUAAUAUACUCUACACAAACCAAAUCAGAUACACAGGUAGAGAAUCCAGCAAAGACAUCUAAGUAUAGGAGAAAAGCAAUACAAACUCAUUGAAGUCCCAUGAUCGGAAAACAGAUGCAAGGAAAAAACAGAAGAGGAAGCUAAUAAAGCUAGCAGAAUCAACUGGAUAGUAUUUCUUACCACAGAAGGUUGGCCCUUUGAAAAUUCACAGCUUUGUCAGUGCUAGUGAACUUUUGAGGUGGAAAUUAUUGCAUCAGAAAUAGCGGAAGAAAUGAGGGCAUAAAUAACUGCAGUAACAAAACCCUGAAAGCCAAACACAAGUAAAAUAGAUUUUUUGAGCACAAAAUUAAACAGAUAGCAUACCAAAGGAAGAUUAAAGCUAAAGUAAGUGAUUAUAAACUUAGACUGUUUUUCCCAUCCAAAUAGCCAUUCAUUGGUACAACAAAAGAUGGAAGGAGAAAUAUUUAAUGAUCCAUAAAAUAAAAUAAAAGAGAAAGAGAAGAAAACCAGCAAGACUGCAAGAGAUGAACAGAAAACCAACGAAGUAGGAGGAGGAGAUGAACAAGAAGAUGACCGGAAAAGAGAGA
Molecule: long non-coding RNA, 608 nt
Filed under: Nicotiana tabacum (common tobacco)
Lineage: Eukaryota; Viridiplantae; Streptophyta; Magnoliopsida; Solanales; Solanaceae
Description: long non-coding RNA (NTAB_LNC009272)
Source: RNAcentral